RNAcentral lists this transfer RNA (67 nucleotides) under Epilampra maya. RNAcentral's name for it is "tRNA-Ser". The record is from RNAcentral. Lineage: Eukaryota; Metazoa; Arthropoda; Insecta; Blattodea; Blaberidae.
GAAGUAUGUUGUUCAAGUGAAAGCUGCUAACUUAUCACUUUAGCGGUUAAAUUCCGUUUAUAUUUCU